AAAUUGUCCCCAAAUGAGCAAAGUGAUCACUAUGUUUCUCCCUGUCUCCCUAGGCCCCAAACACACUAAGGAGCCUUUCACGUAAAUGCCAAGCUAAAGUGCCACUCCAGGGCGUGGUGGGUACUGCCACUGAAGUGUUUGUACAUCGAAUAACAAGAAGAUUCCACCAAAAGUCUGUAAAAAGGGGUGAGAAAACUGAUGUGGCUGUGACCCUAGCUUUGGCCUUGAAGUGAUUAUGAAAUGGAGGAAGAAAUUUGACUCUCCAAAUGACCAACAGGAGCUCAACAGGCAUCCUCCCCACUCAAGGGAGCCUUGUAGCCAACUUACUGAUUUGCCACCAGGCCCUGCAAGAUGAUUGCCAUAAAGAAAAUCCUUUGGAAAAGAAGAGCAUACCUUCUAAGGAAGAAAUGGUCCAUGCAUUUGGGCUGGCAACUCACAAAAGAGAUGCCGCCUGACACUGGGACGGAUUUCAAGUCUGAGAAAACCGCUGGGGUUUCCCAACACGCCCAGCCCACCGCGCUCCAUUCACCGGCCGCCCCGUCUUGGCGGAGGUCAUCCUUUCGGUCGCGAAGAUGACUUUACAAGUCUCAGUUGUAUCAAUUAAAGCACCGCGAUGUGAGAGAGGCCCCGUUUUAUUUCUCAGGUGUCUUUACUGGCUGAAAUAUGGACUCCUCUGCCACUCGUGGCCUUCUUCGCGGCCCUUGCUGCCUCCCUCCUGUGUAUUUGUGCAUGUUUUUGUUACGGCGUGCUUUCGUCUAGAUUUGAGUAAUAUGUCCCUCUGACUGUCCACUCUCUUCCCCAGAGACAGCGAGCUCCUUAUGAGCGGGCAAGGAGCCUCAUCGGCGUGUGUGCACAUCUCCCAGGCCUGCUACAGCUCAGUAAAUAUGCUUAUUAAACUCAGCUAACCCUCCACCUCGCCCCUACCAUCACCUUUCAGACUGCAUUGGAAUUUGGGUAUCUUCUAUAAUCAUCCUAGUUUGUCUGUAAUUCCCAAGAAUUUAUGACUCUGUGUUAAAAAAAGAAAUGUAGAAAAGGAAACGCCAAUACAACAAGCACUCUUAGCUGUCAGAGAGCCCUGCUUUGCUUUCAUUGAGCAUUUGUAGAGUGUCACUAGAUUUUCCUACACUUGGAAUUUUUUUUUUAAUUAGAUUUUCUCUAGCUUGAUCUUCAGUUCUAAAUGUUUCUUAGAGUGCUUUUCAAUUUCCAAAGGACUUCAUCAAUUUCACAGAGUAUAGGUCCAAUGUACACAAUAAAAUCCUUUGCUCUUUUACA
This 1272-nucleotide long non-coding RNA is filed under the name Bos indicus x Bos taurus (hybrid cattle). RNAcentral describes it as "lncRNA (ENSBIXG00005006837.1)". The record is from RNAcentral. Lineage: Eukaryota; Metazoa; Chordata; Mammalia; Artiodactyla; Bovidae.